UACGUAGGCAGCAAGCGUUGUUCGGAGUUACUGGGCGUAAAGGGUGCGUAGGCGGCUUUUUAAGUUUGGUGUGAAAUCUCCCGGCUCAACCGGGAGGGUGCGCCGAAUACUGAGAGGCUAGAGUGUGGGAGAGGAAAGUGGAAUUCCUGGUGUAGCGGUGAAAUGCGUAGAUAUCAGGAGGAACACCGGUGGUGUAAACGGCUUUCUGGACCAUAACUGACGCUGAGGCACGAAAGCGUGGGUAGCAAACAGG
Molecule: ribosomal RNA, 253 nt
Filed under: uncultured bacterium
Lineage: Bacteria
Description: partial 16S ribosomal RNA
Rfam family: Bacterial small subunit ribosomal RNA
Source: RNAcentral